RNAcentral lists this transfer RNA (66 nucleotides) under Anterhynchium abdominale. RNAcentral's name for it is "tRNA-Asn". The record is from RNAcentral. Lineage: Eukaryota; Metazoa; Arthropoda; Insecta; Hymenoptera; Vespidae.
UUAAUUGAAGCCAAAAUAGAGGCAAAUUAUUGUUAAUAAUUUAAUUGAGUCCCCCCUCCAAUUGAA